ACAACUUUCAGCAACGGAUCUCUUGGCUCUCGCAUCGAUGAAGAACGCAGCGAAAUGCGAUAAGUAAUGUGAAUUGCAGAAUUCAGUGAAUCAUCGAAUCUUUGAACGCACCUUGCGCUCCUUGGUAUUCCGAGGAGCAUSCCUGUUUGAGUGUCAUGAA
This 160-nucleotide ribosomal RNA is filed under the name Polyporus arcularius. RNAcentral's name for it is "5.8S ribosomal RNA". It matches the Rfam family "5.8S ribosomal RNA". From Rfam's summary of the family: 5.8S ribosomal RNA (5.8S rRNA) is a component of the large subunit of the eukaryotic ribosome. It is transcribed by RNA polymerase I as part of the 45S precursor that also contains 18S and 28S rRNA. Functionally, it is thought that 5.8S rRNA may be involved in ribosome translocation. Lineage: Eukaryota; Fungi; Basidiomycota; Agaricomycetes; Polyporales; Polyporaceae. The record is from RNAcentral.